UACGGGAGGCAGCAGUGGGGAAUAUUGCACAAUGGGCGCAAGCCUGAUGCAGCCAUGCCGCGUGUAUGAAGAAGGCCUUCGGGUUGUAAAGUACUUUCAGUCGUGAGGAAGGUGUUAAGGUUAAUAACCUUAGCAAUUGACGUUAGCGACAGAAGAAGCACCGGCUAACUCCGUGCCAGCAGCCGCGGUAAUACGGAGGGUGCGAGCGUUAAUCGGAAUUACUGGGCGUAAAGGGCACGCAGGCGGUUAAUUAAGUUGGAUGUGAAAUCCCCGGGCUUAACCUGGGAAUGGCAUUCAAGACUGGUUAGCUAGAGUCUUGUAGAGGGGGUAGAAUUCCAUGUGUAGCGGUGAAAUGCGUAGAGAUGUGGAGGAAUACCGGUGGCGAAGGCGGCCCCUGGCAAAGGACUGACGCUCAUGUGCGAAAGCGUGGGGAGCAAACGAGGAUUAGAUACC
RNAcentral lists this ribosomal RNA (453 nucleotides) under uncultured bacterium. Its description in RNAcentral is "bacterial SSU rRNA". It matches the Rfam family "Bacterial small subunit ribosomal RNA", at positions 340 to 786 of the family's 1533-position model. The record is from RNAcentral.